Molecule: long non-coding RNA, 366 nt
Filed under: Trifolium pratense (red clover)
Lineage: Eukaryota; Viridiplantae; Streptophyta; Magnoliopsida; Fabales; Fabaceae
Description: long non-coding RNA (TPRA_LNC009152)
Source: RNAcentral
UUUCCAUUGUAACAAGCUUCUCAAUUGUUUGAGUUUUUGUAAAAGCUUGAAGAUCCAAACCAUCAGCAUUUGUAAAAGAUUGGCUCAAGUCAAUACGUAACUAUUGAUUGAGUGACACCUUAUAAAGUCUGGAGGACUUAGGUAGAUCAAGCGAGUGAAGCUUGGAAGAUUAUGAUCUUGGACUAGAUCAAGGAAGAAGUGUAAUUUGAGAUCGGUAGUAUCUCAUAGUGGAUAAUCUCACAAGAGCGUGAGGACUAGAGUAGCCCAUACUAUUAGGGGGUGAACCAGGAUAAUUGUUUGUGUGUUGUUUCUCUUCCUUAUUCUCUUUUAUUUACUGUAAACACACAUCACACAAAGCACUUCAUU